This 429-nucleotide ribosomal RNA is filed under the name Pseudomonadota bacterium. RNAcentral's name for it is "Proteobacteria bacterium partial 16S ribosomal RNA". It matches the Rfam family "Bacterial small subunit ribosomal RNA", at positions 355 to 776 of the family's 1533-position model. The record is from RNAcentral. Lineage: Bacteria; Pseudomonadati; Pseudomonadota.
UGGGGAAUAUUGGACAAUGGGCGAAAGCCUGAUCCAGCCAUGCCGCGUGUGUGAAGAAGGUCUUCGGAUUGUAAAGCACUUUAAGUGGGGAGGAAGGGCAGUAAGCGAAUACCUUGCUGUUUUGACGUUACCGACAGAAUAAGCACCGGCUAACUCUGUGCCAGCAGCCGCGGUAAUACAGAGGGUGCAAGCGUUAAUCGGAAUUACUGGGCGUAAAGCGCGCGUAGGUGGUUCGUUAAGUUGAAUGUGAAAGCCCCGGGCUCAACCUGGGAACUGCAUCCAAAACUGGCGAGCUAGAGUAGGGCAGAGGGUGGUGGAAUUUCCUGUGUAGCGGUGAAAUGCGUAGAUAUAGGAAGGAACACCAGUGGCGAAGGCGACCACCUGGGCUCAUACUGACGCUGAGGUGCGAAAGCGUGGGGAGCAAACAGG